Molecule: ribosomal RNA, 472 nt
Filed under: Rhynocoris mendicus
Lineage: Eukaryota; Metazoa; Arthropoda; Insecta; Hemiptera; Reduviidae
Description: partial large subunit ribosomal RNA
Rfam family: Bacterial large subunit ribosomal RNA
Source: RNAcentral
AAGGUCUAACCUGCCCGAUGAUAUUAAUUCAAUGGCCGCGGUAUUUUAACUGUGCUAAGGUAGCAUAAUCAUUUGUCUUUUAAUUAAAGGCUGGAAUGAAUGGUUGGACGAGGUGUCAACUUUCUUUAAUUUAAUAUUUUGAAUUUAAUUUUUUAGUUAAAAAGCUAAAAUGAAUUUGAGGGACGAGAAGACCCUGUAGAUCUUUAUAUUCAUAGUAUUGUAUAUUUUAGUGAAUUAAUUAUUUAUUAAUAUAAUUGUUUAUUUGAUUGGGGCGAUUGUAGAAUUUGUUUAACUUCUAUUUUUAUUUUUCAAUGAUCUUUGUAUUUUUGAUCCAUUAUUAUUGAUUAAAAUAUUAAGUUACCUCAGGGAUAACAGCGUAAUUUCUUCGGAGAGCUCUUAUCGAUGAAGGAGUUUGCGACCUCGAUGUUGGAUUAAAAUAAGUAAUGGGUGCAGGAGCUCAUUAACUAGGUCU